This 72-nucleotide transfer RNA is filed under the name Dipodomys ordii (Ord's kangaroo rat). It matches the Rfam family "tRNA". From Rfam's summary of the family: Transfer RNA (tRNA) molecules are approximately 80 nucleotides in length. Their secondary structure includes four short double-helical elements and three loops (D, anti-codon, and T loops). Further hydrogen bonds mediate the characteristic L-shaped molecular structure. tRNAs have two regions of fundamental functional importance: the anti-codon, which is responsible for specific mRNA codon recognition, and the 3' end, to which the tRNAs corresponding amino acid is attached (by aminoacyl-tRNA synthetases). tRNAs cope with the degeneracy of the genetic code in two manners: having more than one tRNA (with a specific anti-codon) for a particular amino acid; and 'wobble' base-pairing, i.e. permitting non-standard base-pairing at the 3rd anti-codon position. The record is from Rfam by way of RNAcentral. Lineage: Eukaryota; Metazoa; Chordata; Mammalia; Rodentia; Heteromyidae.
GCUGGGAAGGCUUAAUGGUAGAGUGCUUGCCUAGCAUGCAGGAAGCCCUGGGUUCAAUUCCUCAGUACCACA